This 232-nucleotide long non-coding RNA is filed under the name Gossypium raimondii (Peruvian cotton). RNAcentral's name for it is "long non-coding RNA (GRAI_LNC005173)". The record is from RNAcentral. Lineage: Eukaryota; Viridiplantae; Streptophyta; Magnoliopsida; Malvales; Malvaceae.
AACAGCAUAGGGGUGAAAUUUUUAUUUUUUCAUUUUAUUUUCUAUAAAUCGGGCUAUAAAAAAAGCCAUUCGAACGCUGUAAAGAGGAUUACGCAUUGAGAAUACAAAAAAAGUCGAAAUAUUGAAAGGUGACUUCCGAGUUUCUUUUACAUUUUCAUUUUGCUAGUAUCAGUUUUCUUUUUUUCUUUCUCAUAUUUUGUGUGUUUAAUAGUUAUUAGUUAAGAGAUAAAAC